AGUCCGUGACAAAAGUCGAAUUGAUGGUGCAAGUAAUUGCAUCUCCCUCUCCCCUCUUCCGGAAACAGCAAAUUCAAAAACAAGAAAUCGCCUUUAAUGGUUGUUGAUGUUGAUAAUGAAAACCUAGAGUUGGAGAGAUAGAUGAUGUCGCAUUCGCACAAGCAUCUAGAUUCACGCCACUCUAUUGACUCCUGCACCCUCCACCUCCACAACUGGAGACCCUUUCAUCUCCAGAACAGUAACACCCUUGACUCCGAUUCUUCUAAACCCUACUCUUCCUCCAAUGGAGUCUACAGUAAGCGUCCUUGUCUCUCCGAUCGUGCCACCUCUUUCUCCAUCAUGGACGCCAUUGACAUGUCUAAAUUGUCCCUCAUCGACGACGAUAAAUCUAUCACCACUGCUUCUUACAAGAGGCCCACUCUUCGAUUAGUCCACAGAAAAAGACGCCGCCGCGGCUCCAGGUCUGUCUCCGGUCGGAGUAGCGAUCGUAGGGGGACUCGCCGAUGCUGCUCUGUGGGAGCCUCUGCGGCCUAUGGUACCUGCUCAGAUUUUCAUGUUGCCGUAGGCACGGAUUCAAGCGGCGAACUUUUUAUGAACGGGGAGGCAAAUUGGGCGUCUGAUGUAAGUGAAGCCAAAAACUCAAGGAGGGAUAGAGAUAAUGGAAGUGGAGAGAAGGAGAAUUUGGGAGUUGGUUUUGGUCAAUUUGGGGGUUUAGAUGCUCCGGGAAAUGAAUCUGGGUAUGGGAGUGAACCCGGUUACCGUGGUGAUGCUGAGUUUGGAUAUGGCGAUGAGUUUGAUGAGGAGGAGGAUGAGGGCAGGUUGUUGUUUUGGGGAGAACAUUCGGGAGAUGAAUGAACCUACAUGGAUAUAGAAUGGUAUGAGGACUUUUUGGUUUUAUAUUGUGUAGAUCUUCUAUCCCACUCAGAGGGUCAGAUUCAAAACUGGAGAUGGUUGGGGAGAACACAUUCUCUGAUCAAAAAUCACAUUACAGGUGCCGCCGCAAGAAACAUGACUGUAGAAUGGUUGAUUCACUGAAGUAAUCUUUCUUUUCAGCAAAUUUUACCAAUUCCUUUAUUUGCUUCACAAUGUAAUGAUCUCUGUGACCCUGUGCUAUGCUGUCUCAUAUCAUACUCUUUGAAAUUUUGUAAGAUUCUUUUCAACUCUGUAGGGAGGGGAUAACAGCAGUAUCCUGAAGCCAGCGUGAAUUGUAAAAUGUUCAAAUAUGAAACUGUAUUUUCCUAUAUAAUGUUAAUGACUGAAGAUCUGUAAUUUAUUUUUCUA
This is an RNA transcript of Mangifera indica (mango), 1281 nucleotides long. RefSeq lists it as uncharacterized. Lineage: Eukaryota; Viridiplantae; Streptophyta; Magnoliopsida; Sapindales; Anacardiaceae. The transcript has 3 exons. The record is from RefSeq and is a predicted model, not a curated record.